RNAcentral lists this transfer RNA (73 nucleotides) under Pseudokineococcus marinus. RNAcentral describes it as "Kineococcus marinus tRNA". It matches the Rfam family "tRNA". From Rfam's summary of the family: Transfer RNA (tRNA) molecules are approximately 80 nucleotides in length. Their secondary structure includes four short double-helical elements and three loops (D, anti-codon, and T loops). The record is from Rfam by way of RNAcentral. Lineage: Bacteria; Bacillati; Actinomycetota; Actinomycetes; Kineosporiales; Kineosporiaceae. RNAcentral also lists the same sequence under 8 other names.
GGGGGCGUGGCGCAACUGGUAGCGCACCUGCUUUGCAAGCAGGGGGUUAGGGGUUCGAGUCCCCUCGCCUCCA